UACGUAGGCAGCAAGCGUUGUUCGGAGUUACUGGGCGUAAAGAGUGUGUAGGCGGUUCUCUAAGUUUGGUGUGAAAUCUCCCGGCUCAACCGGGAGGGGGCGCCGAAAACUGGAGGGCUUGAGUGUGGGAGAGGAAAGCGGAAUUCCUGGUGUAGCGGUGAAAUGCGUAGAUAUCAGGAGGAACACCUGCGGUGUAGACGGCUUUCUGGACCACGACUGACGCUGAGACACGAAAGCGUGGGUAGCAAACAGG
This 253-nucleotide ribosomal RNA is filed under the name uncultured bacterium. RNAcentral's name for it is "partial 16S ribosomal RNA". It matches the Rfam family "Bacterial small subunit ribosomal RNA", at positions 524 to 776 of the family's 1533-position model. The record is from RNAcentral.